Molecule: ribosomal RNA, 116 nt
Filed under: Escherichia coli
Lineage: Bacteria; Pseudomonadati; Pseudomonadota; Gammaproteobacteria; Enterobacterales; Enterobacteriaceae
Source: RNAcentral
CCCGGCGGCCUUAGCGCGGUGGUCCCACCUGACCCCAUGCCGAACUCAGAAGUGAAACGCCGUAGCGCCGAUGGUAGUGUGGGGUCUCCCCAUGCGAGAGUAGGGAACUGCCAGGC